Lingula anatina is the source of this 266-nucleotide long non-coding RNA. The record is from RefSeq and is a predicted model, not a curated record. NCBI's taxonomy places the organism in Eukaryota, Metazoa, Brachiopoda, Lingulata, Lingulida, Lingulidae.
GUGGACAGUGGUGGACAUGUCCAGUUGAAGCUAGACUCCACGCCACCAGAACAAACAGCUAAUGGAGACACACUGAAACCACACAAGUACACCAAGGCACCACAGAGAGGGAUAUUAAAGAAGAGUCCCCGUCCCAGCCCCCGGGCUAGUCCCAGGGCCAGUCCUAAAGGAAGUCCUCAGUCUUCACCUCGCUCUAGUCCACCAGGGUCUGCCAAGACAAGCCCAACACCCAGUCCACAGUUAGAAAAGAAAUUCAGCAUUGGGCU